UAAACAUGAAAUGGAGAUAAUGUUUUUGAUAAUAGAAGGAACAAAAUAACAUGCAUCUAAUGCAAUAAAAGCUCCACUAGGCAGAUGUAGGGAGACCUCGCCAACAACUAAUACAACAACUUUUGCUCCAUUACCCAUCUUGAGGUCCAUCUCGCCUCUCUCUAGUCUCCUAGGCCUUGCCAGAACCUGCAACGAAUUGCAUAUAUGAUAAGCACUACCGGUAUCCAAUACCCAUGUGUUAUC
Molecule: long non-coding RNA, 243 nt
Filed under: Musa acuminata (dwarf banana)
Lineage: Eukaryota; Viridiplantae; Streptophyta; Magnoliopsida; Zingiberales; Musaceae
Description: long non-coding RNA (MACU_LNC008823)
Source: RNAcentral